This 434-nucleotide long non-coding RNA is filed under the name Musa acuminata (dwarf banana). Its description in RNAcentral is "long non-coding RNA (MACU_LNC003340)". Lineage: Eukaryota; Viridiplantae; Streptophyta; Magnoliopsida; Zingiberales; Musaceae. The record is from RNAcentral.
CCAUUUGGAAUUGAAUGGGAAGAGUUGGGCACAUAACUGCAGUUAACUUUGGCAUUUGAAUGUGCCAUAGGAUUCUGUGUAUUUGAUUGAUCAUCCAAAGACUCAUUCCUAACUCACCAACCAGAUAACUCAGUCAUCUAAGCAAACGAUAACUAGACUAAUCAAAUUGCUUUGAUGAUUUACUUGCGAGUACAAAAAUCUUGAUUCUGGUCUAAAUUUUAAGGUGUGUGGUAGAAGCAGCAAAUUGGUUUUUCUAAAAUCUUAGUUCAUAUGGUAUGCAUAUCUGUAGUCAGGUUAUUAUUGCCACACCUGCUCAUUUUCUGAGUUCCAUCACCCAAACCCCUAUGUCCUGGUUAAUUGUAGAAUGGUUGGCAUGUUCAAUCAGCUUAAUCAAGUCCUAAUGGCAGAAUCUUCCAUGAGAAGAAAAGCUGUUC